Molecule: ribosomal RNA, 378 nt
Filed under: uncultured bacterium
Lineage: Bacteria
Description: bacterial SSU rRNA
Rfam family: Bacterial small subunit ribosomal RNA
Source: RNAcentral
UACGUAGGGGCCUAGCGUUGUCCGGAUUUAUUGGGCGUAAAGAGCUCGUAGGCGGUUUGGUGAGUCGGGUGUGAAAUCUCCACGCUCAACGUGGAGGGGCCACCCGAUACUGCCAUGACUAGAGUCCGGUAGGGGAGUGUGGAAUUCCCGGUGUAGCGGUGAAAUGCGCAGAUAUCGGGAGGAACACCAGUAGCGAAGGCGACACUCUGGGCCGGUACUGACGCUGAGGAGCGAAAGCGUGGGGAGCAAACAGGAUUAGAUACCCUGGUAGUCCACGCUGUAAACGUUGGGCACUAGGUGUGGGACUCUAUCGACGGGUUCCGUGCCGUAGCUAACGCAUUAAGUGCCCCGCCUGGGGAGUACGGCCGCAAGGCUAAA